Molecule: transfer RNA, 95 nt
Filed under: Fusarium langsethiae
Lineage: Eukaryota; Fungi; Ascomycota; Sordariomycetes; Hypocreales; Nectriaceae
Rfam family: tRNA
About the family: Transfer RNA (tRNA) molecules are approximately 80 nucleotides in length.
Source: Rfam by way of RNAcentral
GGGCGAAUGGUUUAGUGGUAUAAUACUCCCUUAGCAUGUUCUCAACCUCGAGUCGUCAUUGGGAGUGGUCCAGGGUUCGAUUCCCUGUUCGUCCA